UCAAAUAUUUCAGAGACUGCUACAGCAGCCCUGAGGCAGUGUGCCUAGGUGUCUUGCUCUGUAGUGAAGGACCAGGAGGAACUAAAUAGUUCCGGAAAUAAAGCAGAAAAGCAGUGACUUUCCGUCUCAUAUUUGCCGCUGUUUUAUGUCUUAGAAUGGUGUUAUUCGGUUGAUAAAUACUGUGACAUGCUAAAGAUGGGUGGAGCUCUUAAAAGGUAACUGGAUCAUGGGGCACUACAGCUGACUUGCUGUUUUGGAGGCAGGACUUGGAUGAAGACAGAUCACUGGAGGUGUAGCCUGGGUGUAUAUGCCUACCUCCCUUCCUGGUUCCUCCCUUCUCUCUCUGGCCAGCAUGAUGAUUCUUCAAGACAGAGGGAAAGACUCAAAGCCUUUACAAUGUGGCAGAAUUUGGAAAUAUCCUCUAGGACUCACAAUAACAGCCUGCCCUUACAGGCUGGCCAGGUGACAAACCAAUUUCAGCCAUGCAAAGCAAAUGGUAAUUCUUUAGUUUCCUUAACUAACUUAGGUUUUCUCUCAAACAUCUUAUCUUCAUGGGUUAUGAGGAAAAGUUAAAUUGAAUCUGUUCUGGCAACCUAGGAUCAAAAACUUUAAACAUUCUCUUAAAUUAUCAUUUUCUUUCAAGGUUCCUGUCUCUUUAGGAUACUGUUUUGGAGAUUAAGGAAAAGGGGCUCAUGUGACUUCCUGGUUCAAUAACAAAGAAAAUUCAGAUUCCAGAAGUUCUUCUGGUCAGCACCAGGUGCUGGCUAGCAGCAGAGUCCAAGUUCUGGUUGGCUCUGCCUGACCCACUCAGUAACCCUUGAGUAUGAGCCAUAAAGUUGGGGUGUGCCUCCUUCCCACUAGAGGGGCUCUCCCCUUCUUCCAGGAGCUGAAGAUCUAAGGAGGCUAAUCUAAGCCUCCUUUCCUCCAUAGCCCAGGUGACUGGAGGACCACUCAGCAUGGCCGCCUAGAAUCACAAAUCCAAGUAUGCAAUGAUCCUUUGCCUUUGAGAUCCUUAAACCCUACCUAAUUGGCUUCUUGUUUCCAUAACUCACAGAAAACAAGUCACCAGGACACAUAUUUCACCACUUGCUUUUCUUAUAUUUACUAUCUCCUUUUACCUAAAACUGAGCAGACAUAAGAGAUGGUGGAAUUUUUUUUACAAAAGUGGAAUUGUUGGUCAAAUGUGUGAUCACUUGCAUCAUUGUAAAAAUGAGAACAUUGUAAAAAUGAGAACAGAAUGAUGCAGUAACAAUUAAGUGGAUACAGUUUGUGUGACCUUUAUUCUCAGGUUAUAUUGACUCUGUUGAAAUAAACUUUUACACACAAGUUUCUCUAACAUCCUUCACUGAAAAAGAAGUUUUAGAUACCAUCACUUGAUGGAAACUUUGCUGGCUGAUGAAAUUCUAAACUCUAUGAACUCUUGAGUUCUUGAGCACUGAAUAAAGACAGUGGCUUGACUCCACUUCCAACAAAACCUUAGGUAAUUAUGCUAUACACUGUAUUUUUUCAUCUUUCUUUUAAAUCAGUUUGGUAUUUGUGUUUCAUGACCAAAAUACUCUAAACCCUAAAAAAAAAAAUUUAAAAACCCCAAUCUUGUAUUUGGAAUAGUGGAGGGAAGGAGGAAAAGAAGGGAGAAGGAGAUAAAGAAAAUAACAGAAUAUGUCCAUAAAAUAUUCAAAACAGAAAAUUUAGGAAUUUCUUACAUAGUGGGGUUGAAGGUUGUUAUUCCAUGUGUUCUGUGACUCAGUCAUCACUUUUGUAUUCUUGCCUGCUUGUACAUCUCUUUCUCUUUCUCUCCUUUAACAUGUGUUUUUACACAUUUUUAAAGGUCAGGCUAUCUAUCCACUAUUUCUAGUACUGAGUUUUGGUGGUGGCAGUGGUGGAGACUGCUCCCAAAUUUCUAAUUAACUGAAUCCAGAGGCUCUGACCUAUUGUUCUAAUAGCUUAAAUUUAUAAAAAACUAGGAACCAAUAAUUUUUAGGUAGCUAUAAACACUCCAAAAUAAAAUUAAAAGAAGAAAUACAUUCAUUUUUGUCACCUUGUGAGAGUCUUGUCUACUUCUUAUUUCCCGAUGAUAUACAUAGGUUUUAAAUCUCGCACAAUCCCACAGGAAUUUAGCUUUUGUACUUUCCAUUAAAAAGCAAAACAGAACAAAAAAUACCUUCAGAAUGUUCAAGUGCAUAAUGUUUGAAAUUUUUUUGCCUUUUUAAUGCAACUUUGUUAACAUGAAGAAAAUAGUAGCCAAGUACUAUCUUAUUUGGGCUGUAGAAUAAGUUUGAUUUAGUAAAGUUUUUUAGCCUUAAGUUAUGUGAUACAUUAAUUUUUGCAGUUUAGACUUUUACAACCACAUCUGAAAUUACCUUCACAAAAUUUAUUAAAGAAUACAAUUGUCACACAAAAAUUAAUGCCAAGCCCCUAUUUAUGUAAACAUCCAAGAAUGAUUUGAAGAGUGACAGAAACAUGUUGGGUUAAUUGCCCCAUGAUGGCUCUUGUCCCAGAUGUCAGGCUGUGUGAUUACUAAAGCAGUCCACUGAUUGGGUCGGCACAGUUCUGAGUGUGGAUAACUAGAAGGGUCACCCUGGGUGUGAGUGCUGCCCACCCUAAGGGCAUGUUGCUGGGAUAGGAGAGACGGUCACUGCUUGCUUCCUUUUAGUUUGCUUCCUUCCUGCCUUCUGCCCACCAUGAACUGUUUUUCCCCUGUGAUACCCCUCUACCUUGCCACCCCACCUUGAAGCCAGCCAACCAUGAACUGCAACCUCUACAAACUGUGAGCUAAAUAAAUCUUUCUUUUCUUAACUUGCAGGGGUUGAGUAUUUUGUCUCAGCAAUGAGAAAAGAAACUAAGACAGCCCCAGUACUAAAUGGCCUUACAGAUCCAUUCUGUUUGACUCUUAAAACUAUUUACUGACUUUUUCCUGUCUCUUUUCUUUCAACAGAAAUGAAGACAACCUGACGUAACACUCCUUGGUAGCUUGCAUCGUUUUCUGUGUUUAUUCUGACUUGGUUCAUAUCUACAGCUUAGGCAGUACAAUGCAGUGUUGUAUUUAGGGGUUUUAUUUCUGUUCUAGCCUUAAGUAAAACCUACUUAAAUUACUUAUUUCUGUGUUCCCUUGUAAGUAUCUAGCAUAUACUUGGAGCAAAGUACCUGAUCUUCAAUGAGCCAGAUAAUCAGAUUACAAUCCUUGUUGUAAUUGUAUAUAAAGCAAGAAUACAUCAUGUAGCAGUUGAGCAAGAUGUGAAAAAUUAUUUCAUAAAGGCCUUUUGGCUUCUUGCUGUUGUAUGGUUCAUUCCAAACCUUGGGGGGAUAUUUAGAAAAACACAUUUGUCUACAUGAAUGCAGUAGUUAAUAUAAUCCUCUUCCUUUUUUCACAUUUGCCAAGGCAUGUGGCUGCGAAAUAAGAUUUCACGGUCUAUUUCAUGUUCUUGUAGGAUCAGAAUCCUACAAGGAAACUUCACAGUUGAAAGAACCUUAGAGCAGGGAUCUGUAUACUGUUUGGAAGAACAUGACAUCAUCAUUUCUGAAUUAAGCAGCAGGGCUAAAGUCAACAAGUACUGCCUAAGAAAGAAGUAUGGUAUGGACCUUUGUGAUUUCACUAUCUGUCUGGAAAGAAGCAACCACUGUUUCUGUGAAUUUGAGCACAAUUCUGAAUUGUUUACAAACAUCUAGAAAGACUUGAAAUAUCUAUCUCAUUCCCUUGUCCUUUUAUCCCUCUUUUUGCUUUCCAUGACUGUGCUGUGACUUCUUUUUCCUCUUCAAUGCCUUAGAGAUAGCCAACCAUGGACUAAAGCCUCUAUAAACCACAAAGCAAAACAAAAUCCUUUCCUCCUUUAAUUUACAGGUGUCAGCGAGGAGAACAUAACUAAGACAUCUACUGAGAGCUUUUAAGAUCCUUUAAUUUGUAUCUUAAUAAACUGCAUUUCUGUUAAACUUGUAUUUAUAUAUUUUUUAAUUUGUAAGAUAUUGAUGUGAUUUCAUUCCUUUAAAGAAAUCUUAACAGAGUAUGAUAUGAUAGCACUGUAAGUUGUUAGAGAAAACUGAGUGAAAGGUAUAUGAGAAAAUUGCAUGAAAUCUGUAACUCUGGUUUAAAUUUAGAAUUAUUUUAGAACAAAAGUGCAAUAAUACAAAGAUGUUAAUUCUUGAAAUCUAGAAGAGUGAUGACUUUUUAAUUGACAGUGCAAUUAGCUAUUAGACACACAAAGGGUUUGUUGCACCAUCUGACACUCAGUCCUUUGUGCUCUACUAUGUUACCGUUGAGAAAUGGGCCUCUGCUUCAUCUCAAUGGCUCUUCUUCUACCUAUUGAUAAAGGUGCAGAGGCCUCAUUUCAACCAUUCUGCUUCCCUAAGUUGAGAAGACAACCUAGCAUGAAUGUAGCUAUGAAAGUCUGAUGCAGCUGUAAAGUCAGAGGCUAAGAGAUUCAGCUAACAAAUUUAUCAUCUCUUGACUCAGUAUCCAAGACCAGUACCAAUCAACAGCACAGGGUGAUACGGCACUAUUAAAUAAAUGACAUAUAUGAAACAUACACAGACGUUCUGCUUUCCUAAAGUUGUCUGGGUUUACCUAUAAAUGAUACAGGAUUAUUUUUUCAUUUAGUUGGAGACUCUCCAAGCACCACUCAAAAAAAAGAAAUUUGCAGGAGGGCGAAUAUGCUGAAUUAUAUUAUUGCAGAUUCUUGACUCAAUCCAGCCUAUCAUCAUUUGAAAAAUCAGAGCAAACAGAAGAAUAUAUCUAAAUAUUUUCAUGCUUCCUAGAAGAAAACUUUUGUCUAGCCUCUGUGGAAUAUAUACAGAACUUUAGAGUAUGUAGUGAAAACAUAGUCCUCAUCCAAAAUCUUUAUUUUUAUUUAUCUAGAGUAAACUUAGGAAAUCUAGUCAUGAAAUUUUCAGCUUUUCACGGGCAAUUUCCAGUGUUUUCCAAAGGUUAAGCACAGAUACUGUAUCAACUUGCUACGUGAGCAAAUAUGCUAUGUUCUUCAGGACAUGAAUCUCUAAAGUGAGUCAAUGAAUACAUGGAAAGCUGUCCUUUUUUCUUUGAUUUAUAAUGUACAUCUUUAUGGCAAUCUAUGGUAAUUUGUAUGGUGUACAAUGUAUACUGAGGAA
Molecule: long non-coding RNA, 5097 nt
Organism: Cavia porcellus (domestic guinea pig)
Lineage: Eukaryota; Metazoa; Chordata; Mammalia; Rodentia; Caviidae
Exons: 5
Source: RefSeq, a predicted model, not a curated record